RNAcentral lists this ribosomal RNA (346 nucleotides) under uncultured bacterium. RNAcentral describes it as "bacterial SSU rRNA". It matches the Rfam family "Bacterial small subunit ribosomal RNA", at positions 8 to 350 of the family's 1533-position model. The record is from RNAcentral.
AGAGUUUGAUCAUGGCUCAGGAUGAACGCUAGCUACAGGCUUAACACAUGCAAGUCGAGGGGCAGCAUGUUGGUUGCUUGCAACCAAUGAUGGCGACCGGCGCACGGGUGAGUAACGCGUAUCCAACCUACCCUUGUCCAUCGGAUAACCCGUCGAAAGGCGGCCUAACACGAUAUGCGGUUCACAGCAGGCAUCUAAGGUGAACGAAAUGUGAAGGAGAAGGAUGGGGAUGCGUCUGAUUAGCUUGUUGGCGGGGUAACGGCCACAAGGCUACAAUCAGUAGGGGUUCUGAGAGGAAGGUCCCCCANAUUGGAACUGAGACACGGUCCAAACUCCUACGGAGGCA